RNAcentral lists this ribosomal RNA (714 nucleotides) under Triticum aestivum (bread wheat). Its description in RNAcentral is "partial small subunit ribosomal RNA". Lineage: Eukaryota; Viridiplantae; Streptophyta; Magnoliopsida; Poales; Poaceae. The record is from RNAcentral.
CUGGCAGAAAAUGGCACAAUCAUGAUUCAGUUUGGUCAGCAAGUGCCUAACUGCGAGUCCUCAGCUAGCGAUUCUCCUCAAGAAGUGUCCGGAAUGAGCGAAGGGAGCUUUAAUGAGCAGAAUGAUCAAUCUGGUAAUCGCGAUGGCUAUACGAAGAGUAGUGAUGAAGGCAAGAUGAUGUCGGCUUUGUCUCUGGGCAAUUCAGAAAUGGCAUACACACCGCCAAAACCUGACCGCACUCAUCCCUUUGCCAUAUCAUACCCAUAUGCUGAUCCUUACUAUGGUGGUGCAGUGGCAGCCUAUGGCGCACAUGCUAUUAUGCACCCCCAGAUGGUGGGCAUGGUACCAUCCUCUCGAGUGCCACUACCGAUUGAACCAGCUGCCGCCGAAGAGCCCAUUUAUGUGAAUGCGAAGCAAUACCAUGCCAUUCUCCGAAGGAGACAGCUCCGCGCAAAAUUAGAGGCUGAAAAUAAGCUGGUCAAAAGCCGUAAGCCGUACCUGCAUGAGUCCCGGCACCAGCACGCGAUGAAGCGGGCUCGGGGAACAGGCGGGCGGUUCCUCAACGCAAAGGAGAAGUCUGAAGCUUCAGGCGGCGGCAAUGCAUCAGCGAGGUCUGGCCACGCCGGCGUUCCCCCGGAUGGCGGCAUGUUCUCGAAGCACGACCACACCUUACCAUCCGGUGACUUCCAUUACCGCGCGAGAGGGGGCGCCUAG